Molecule: ribosomal RNA, 458 nt
Filed under: uncultured bacterium
Lineage: Bacteria
Description: partial 16S ribosomal RNA
Rfam family: Bacterial small subunit ribosomal RNA
Source: RNAcentral
CCUACGGGUGGCAGCAGUGAGGAAUAUUGGUCAAUGGGCGAGAGCCUGAACCAGCAAAGUCGCGUGAGGGAGUACUGCCCUAUGGGUUGUAAACCCCUUUUGUCGGGGAGCAAAAGCCGGACGUGUCCGGCUGUGAGAGUACCCGCAGAAUAAGCAUCGGCUAACUCCGUGCCAGCGGCCGCGGUAUUACGGAGGAUGCGAGCGUUAUCCGGAUUUAUUGGGUUGAAAGGGGGCGCAGGGGGAAUGUUAAGUCAGCGGUAAAAUCGUGGGGCUCAACCCCGUCCAGCAGUUGAAACUGGGGAUCUAGAGUGUGCGAGAGGUAUGCGGAAUGCGUGGUGUAGCGGUGAAAUGCAUAGAUAUCACGAAGAACACCGAUUGCGAAGGCAGCAUACCGGAGCACAACUGACGCUCAGGCACGAAAGCGUGGGUAUCGAACAGGAUUAGAUACCCCUGUAGUC